GCGGUGGCGGUUAAGAUUGUUCUUGAUACGAAGGUGAAGGUGAAGAUGGGAUCUGUGAAAAGCCCUAAGUCGGGGAUUAGGGUUACUUGCGAAGGGAUUAAAGCGGCGGGUCCGUCGGGGAAGAAGGCGACGACGGCUGCUACCUCGGGCGCGAAGUGUAAGGUUGAUCUUAGGAUCAAGAUCUGGAAAUUUACUUUUUAACCGUUGGGGUAAAAAAGGAAAUGUAAUUCACGUUCGUAGUUUUUUUUCUCAUCUUUCCAUUGUUUCAAUUUUCGUUUUCUUCUUAAUUUGAUUUCAUAUACAGUUCUUCGAUUCCCGUAAGACUUUAUUUUUUGGUUUAUGUAAAUGAGAUAUAUAAUAUAUUUGUGUUCGGUCUGAGCUUCACUGUUUUCUAUUAUUUUGUGAAAAAUGUUUGAUUUGUUAAACAAAAGAAGUUUAAUCAGUUGAUUAUAGUUAUUGUUACUGUUCGAAUUUGAUUAAGAGAGGGUCAUCUAGGGCACAAAGAACAAAAGAAAAGCGAGAAGAAAACGCAGCAUGCUUAUUUAAUUAAUUAAUAUGGGGGUAAUAAUGCAAGUGAUGUGACGACUACUAUAACUUCUGCAAGUGCUAUGGACAGUUAAUCUCUUAAGUAGACAAUUAAGCCGAGCUACUCUUAGUUGUAACAAUUAAUUGAGCCUGCCAUGUGGUCCAUGUGUGUAUGAGAAUAUACUCAUAAACAUACCCAUAUUAAGAACCUAUCAACUAUUGCUUCACAACGAAUGUAUAUAAUUGGUGUCUAUUAUUAAUCUCCAGGUCUGUUGGGUGGUGUAUGUUUAUUAAUAAAAUGUGGGCACAAAGUAAGUGAUAAGGUCUAGAAGGUGUUGGUGAAUAUGUUCGAUUCAACUUUAACAAGCACAAGCAAAGCUACGAUGAAUCAUGAUUGAAAAGCAGGUCUUAUGUAAUUAUCAACAACAAAAAAGAGAUUAGGUGUUAUGGUGUAAAACGACGACUAACAUGUGAUGGAAUUUGUUCGUUUUCCACAAAAUAAUAUAUAAAAAAUAAAGCAGUUGCAAAAUCUUCUUAUAUCAACUCAGGAAACCAAUUUUUUUAUUUUGAGUUGGUUAGUUUAAUCAGUUAUGAACUUAUGAAUAUAAUAUCAGAGUGCGAAGGGAAUAGGUGCACAUAAAAGUGCUAGAAGAAUUUUACCUUAUGGACCAAUCACAAUGUUUUAGUAAAUAUUUUGGGUUUAAAGAAACUACAAACCAGUCUAAAAUUUCUAUUCACAAGAACUAAUUUAUUUUGGUGAAUAUCUCCACACAAAAAGAAGAGACUAUUUUAGUUGUAAAACUAUAAAAUCCAUGAUGGCAGCAACAAAAAAUAUUUAUUCUUUCAGUUUUCUACACAACUAUAUUUUCUUAUUCUUCCAUACAGGUAUUAAUGUAUUAUAUUGAGUUAAAUGUGCUAUUAUUUUAUAUUUAAAAAUACAAAAUAUAUAGUGUGAAUACAUUUAUGAUUAUAGUGUGAACGCGUUAGCAUAUUUAUUAUCAAAUCAUUGUGAGGUUGCCACGUGUCUAUUAUAGUGUGAAUGCAUUUAUUACAAUGCUUCUCCUUUAAUAUAUAAGGGAUAAGAAUGUCAAAUUAUUGUAGUCACUUGUGUCAUUACGUUAACGUUACAGGGCUUACCGUUCCGGUUGGAUUAGGGACAGGGCCGGCUCACUAUUACCGAAGGCUCUUGAGCAAAAAUUUUGUUAGAACCCUACAAUUGGCUAGUUUUGUAACUAAGAACUUUUUGACUCAAUCAUCACAACAAUACACAUUUCUAUUAGGUAUUUUAACUAGAUAAGUAGAAAUUUCAUGUUUUUAUGCUGUCUAACUCUGGAUCAAAUAUGCUAAUUUUAAGAAUUAAGACCCCUAAUAUUAUUACAGUUUAGACUAGGCUCCGGGGCGGUCGCACUGGCCGCCCCUGAUUAAAGAAACUACAAACAUUAGGAAACUCGGUUGGAUCAAGGAAACUACAAACACUAGGAAAUUGAGAUCAAACGGAAGUAAAAAGGUUAAGCCUCAAGAGGUACGCCAGUUUCUUAUACGUACGACAUGGAAGAGUAAACUCAGGGGCAACAAUGCCAAGAAACGGGUUAAUAAGUCUGAUCUGAUUUGUUAAUAACAAAUUGUUAUUUGAGUUAUGGAAGAAAGUAACCAAUGAACAUGGGCUUUCUCCCUUUUGUGUGUGUUACUACUUACUAGUGAAUGUAAAAAAGUAAGCGUAUACCGUUGACUAAUAACUUAAAUCCUCAAUAGUCAUAUGGUAAGUUGGCUUCAAUAUUAUUAUUACCUUCUUUUUUUUCUUAACUAGGCACAUUGUUCUGUAUAUAAUCUUGCUACAAAAUUUCAAACCAACAUAAGGCAUGCAAGUUUUCUUACAUUUCGUAAUAGUAAAGGAAGAGAUCAAUCAUAUGAUUCAUAUCACAUGCAUAUGCAAUGUUGCUCCAUGCUAAACGUAUGUGAUAGUGCGUGCGGAUAAUAUGCAAUAUUUUGUUUGUUUUUUUGAAACUAAAAAGGAUUCUUUUUCUCAUCACGUAUUUACAUAUAUGUACGUAUAUCCGAAAACCCCAUAUAAAAACUUCUUUUCACAUUGCUUAAAUAUAUGAAAUUGCUUGCUUUAAAUAAGAUCUAAAUGAGAAAGGGACUAAGCAUCAGUUCUUUUUUAAAUUUGGAAAGGAACUUUCAUAUAUCUUUGCUUCAAUACAAAGGCAAUUAUGUUUGGUGUACGAUUUCACGUUUCAACUCAAAAUUUUGUUUCUACAUUUUUAAAAAUAAACUCUUCUAUCUUUCGUCAUUUUGAAAAUGUAAAUAUGUGAUAUACUCUACUAAUUUAGCAAUAUAUUGCUGUAAAUAGACAUAUCACGAUUAAAACGGACCACAAAAUAUAUCUUCAAAAAAAAAAAAAACGGACCACAAAAUAUGUACGUAUUAAAUAAUGUCACCAAAAAUGCUUAGCAAAUAACAACUGGAACCCUCGUGACUUUUUUAGCACCGUCUACUUUUUUUUUUUGAACAACAUAGCACCGUUUACUUACUCCCGAAAAGCGUGACACGAACGCGCUCAUGCGACGCGCGUAAGCACCAUCUUCCCGCGUUGAGCUGUCACUCUCUUUGUCGGUCUCCGUCGCUUUUUUUCCAUCGCUUCCUCUCUCAUUCUCCACCACUUUCAUUAUUAAACUAAUCAGCCAUUAGAAGAAAAAAGCUUCACUGUAACUCUCCCACAACCAUUUAAAACGCCAUUACAUUUCAACCACUCUUUUCAUCUCUCUCUCUCUCUCUUCUCUUCGAAUCUCCGACAUGACAGACGACAGAGUUUACCCAUCGUCGAAACCUCCCGGCGCAGCCACCGCCAACCCCACUUUCCCGGCGAACAAAGCUCAGCUCUACAGCGCUAACCGCCCAGCUUACCGUCAACCGGCCUCCCGCCGCCGCACGCAUAGCCGCGGAUGCUGCUGCCGCUGCUGCUGCUGGACGAUUUUCGUGAUCCUCCUCCUGAUCGCCGCCGCCGCCGCCGCGUCCGCCGUCGUGUACCUAAUCUACCGUCCUCAACGCCCGAGCUUCACCGUGUCUUCCCUCAAAGUCUCCUCUCUCAACUUCACCUCCGCCAACCACCUCGCCACCGCCAUCUCCCUCUCCGUCAUCGCCAAGAACCCCAACAAGAACGUCGGGUUCAACUACGACGUCACCGACAUCACGGUCUACAAAACCUCUCCCGGAGACGAUGACGUCGUCAUCGGUAAAGGCUCGAUCCCGUCGUUUGUCCACGGGAAGAAGAACACGACUCUGCUGAAAUCGACGAUCGGGAGUCCUCCCGGAGAUCUUGAUGAGCUGUCGGCGGGGAAGCUCAAGGGGGAGCUGAAGGCGAAGAAAGCGGUGGCGGUUAAGAUUGUUCUUGAUACGAAGGUGAAGGUGAAGAUGGGAUCUGUGAAAAGCCCUAAGUCGGGGAUUAGGGUUACUUGCGAAGGGAUUAAAGCGGCGGCUCCGUCGGGGAAGAAGGCGACGACGGCUGCUACCUCGGGCGCGAAGUGUAAGGUUGAUCUUAGGAUCAAGAUCUGGAAAUUUACUUUUUAACCGUUGGGGUAAAAAAGGAAAUGUAAUUCACGUUCGUAGUUUUUUUUCUCAUCUUUCCAUUGUUUCAAUUUUCGUUUUCUUCUUAAUUUG
This 4182-nucleotide long non-coding RNA is filed under the name Brassica napus (rape). RNAcentral describes it as "long non-coding RNA (BNAP_LNC004980)". The record is from RNAcentral. Lineage: Eukaryota; Viridiplantae; Streptophyta; Magnoliopsida; Brassicales; Brassicaceae.